UAUGUCAUCAAAAAAUAAUUA
Molecule: non-coding RNA, 21 nt
Filed under: Caenorhabditis elegans
Lineage: Eukaryota; Metazoa; Nematoda; Chromadorea; Rhabditida; Rhabditidae
Source: RNAcentral